This 404-nucleotide ribosomal RNA is filed under the name Verrucomicrobiota bacterium. RNAcentral's name for it is "Verrucomicrobia bacterium partial 16S ribosomal RNA". It matches the Rfam family "Bacterial small subunit ribosomal RNA", at positions 355 to 776 of the family's 1533-position model. Lineage: Bacteria; Pseudomonadati; Verrucomicrobiota. The record is from RNAcentral.
UGGGGAAUAUUGGACAAUGGGGGGAACCCUGAUCCAGCGACGCCGCGUGAGUGAAGAAGUAUUUCGGUAUGUAAAGCUCUAUCAGCAGGGAAGAAAAUGACGGUACCUGACUAAGAAGCCCCGGCUAACUACGUGCCAGCAGCCGCGGUAAUACGUAGGGGGCAAGCGUUAUCCGGAUUUACUGGGUGUAAAGGGAGCGCAGACGGUUUUGCAAGUCUGAAGUGAAAGCCCGAGGCUUAACCUCGGAGUUGCUUUGGAAACUGUAUAACUAGAGUAUCGGAGAGGUAAGUGGAAUUCCUAGUGUAGCGGUGAAAUGCGUAAAUAUUAGGAGGAACACCGGUGGCGAAGGCGGCUUACUGGACGAAAACUGACGUUGAGGCUCGAAGGCGUGGGGAGCAAACAGG